AUCAGCACGACACGCGGCCGGCAUCCCGACAGCUUUCAGCUGUUCGACGCCACCAAGGGCGAUAUCGGGGCCGGCGUUCCAAUCGCCGUCCUGGUC
This 96-nucleotide transfer RNA is filed under the name Alphaproteobacteria bacterium MarineAlpha4_Bin1. RNAcentral's name for it is "tRNA-Glu". The record is from RNAcentral. RNAcentral also lists the same sequence under 1 other name. Lineage: Bacteria; Pseudomonadati; Pseudomonadota; Alphaproteobacteria.